This 1922-nucleotide ribosomal RNA is filed under the name Veillonella sp. RNAcentral's name for it is "partial 23S ribosomal RNA". It matches the Rfam family "Bacterial large subunit ribosomal RNA", at positions 1 to 2007 of the family's 2925-position model. The record is from RNAcentral. Lineage: Bacteria; Bacillati; Bacillota; Negativicutes; Veillonellales; Veillonellaceae.
GGUUAAGUGAAUAAGGGCGCACGGUGGAUGCCUUGGCACUAGGAGCCGAUGAAGGACGGGACUAACACCGAUAUGCUUUGGGGAGCUGUAAGUAAGCUAUGAUCCAGAGAUUUCCGAAUGGGGGAACCCAAUAUCUUUUAUAGGAUAUUACUUUUCAGUGAAUACAUAGCUGAUUAGAGGUAGACGCAGAGAACUGAAACAUCUUAGUACCUGCAGGAAGAGAAAGAAAAUUCGAUUCCCUGAGUAGCGGCGAGCGAAACGGGAAGAGCCCAAACCAACAAGCUUGCUUGUUGGGGUUGUAGGACUCCAAUAUGGUAGUCUGUUAGUAUAGUUGAAGGAUUUGGAAAAUUCCGCUAAAGAGGGUGAAAGCCCCGUAGACGAAAUGCUGACAACACCUAGGAGGAUCCUGAGUACGGCGGAACACGAGAAAUUCCGUCGGAAUCCGCGGGGACCAUCCCGCAAGGCUAAAUACUCCCUAGUGACCGAUAGUGAACCAGUACCGUGAGGGAAAGGUGAAAAGCACCCCGGAAGGGGAGUGAAAUAGAUCCUGAAACCGUGUGCCUACAACAAGUCAAAGCUCGUUAAUGAGUGAUGGCGUGCCUUUUGUAGAAUGAACCGGCGAGUUACGAUUGCAUGCGAGGUUAAGUCGAAGAGACGGAGCCGCAGCGAAAGCGAGUCUGAAUAGGGCGAAUGAGUAUGUAGUCGUAGACCCGAAACCAUGUGAUCUACCCAUGUCCAGGUUGAAGGUGCGGUAAAACGCACUGGAGGACCGAACCCACGUACGUUGAAAAGUGCGGGGAUGAGGUGUGGGUAGCGGAGAAAUUCCAAACGAACUUGGAGAUAGCUGGUUCUCUCCGAAAUAGCUUUAGGGCUAGCCUCGGAAUUGAGAAUGAUGGAGGUAGAGCACUGUUUGGACUAGGGGCCCAUCUUCCGUAGUCGAAAGGGAAACAGCCCAGACCACCAGCUAAGGUCCCAAAAUAUAUGUUAAGUGGAAAAGGAUGUGGGGUUGCACAGACAACUAGGAUGUUGGCUUAGAAGCAGCCACCAUUUAAAGAGUGCGUAAUAGCUCACUAGUCGAGUGACCCUGCGCCGAAAAUGUACCGGGGCUAAACAUAUUACCGAAGCUGUGGACUACACCAUUAGGUGUAGUGGUAGGAGAGCGUUCUAAGGGCGUUGAAGGUCGAUCGUGAGGACGGCUGGAGCGCUUAGAAGUGAGAAUGCCGGUAUGAGUAGCGAAAGACAGGUGAGAAUCCUGUCCACCGUAUGACUAAGGUUUCCUGGGGAAGGCUCGUCCGCCCAGGGUUAGUCGGGACCUAAGCCGAGGCCGAUAGGCGUAGGCGAUGGACAACAGGUUGAUAUUCCUGUACCAGUUGUUUUUGUUUGAGCAAUGGAGGGACGCAGUAGGCUAAGGAAUGCAUGCGAUUGGAAGUGCAUGUCCAAGCAAUGAGUCUUGAGUAGAGUUAAAUGCUUUACUCUUUAAGGACAAGUUGUGACGGGGAGCGAAAUAAUAGUAGCGAAGUUCCUGAUGUCACACUGCCAAGAAAAGCUUCUAGUGAGAAAACAACUGCCCGUACCGUAAACCGACACAGGUAGUCGAGGAGAGUAUCCUAAGGUGAGCGAGCGAACUCUCGUUAAGGAACUCGGCAAAAUGACCCCGUAACUUCGGGAGAAGGGGUGCUGACUUCGGUCAGCCGCAGUGAAUAGGCCCAAGCGACUGUUUAUCAAAAACACAGGUCUCUGCAAAAUCGUAAGAUGAAGUAUAGGGGCUGACGCCUGCCCGGUGCUGGAAGGUUAAGAGGAUGGGUUAGCUUCGGCGAAGCUCAGAAUUGAAGCCCCAGUAAACGGCGGCCGUAACUAUAACGGUCCUAAGGUAGCGAAAUUCCUUGUCGGGUAAGUUCCGACCCGCACGAAAGGCGUAACGA